GAUGAAGAACGCAGCGAAAUGCGAUAAGUAAUGUGAAUUGCAGAAUUCAGUGAAUCAUCGAAUCUUUGAACGCACAUUGCGCCCCUUGGUAUUCCGAGGGGCAUGCCUAUUCGAGCGUCAUUAUCACCCCACAAGCUCCGGCUUGGUGUUGAGGCCUGCUGUAAAGGCACCCUCUAAAAUCAGUGGCAGUGCUGUCAGGCUCUAAGCGUAGUAAUUCUCUCGCUACAGGGUCCCGGUGGACACUCGCCAGAACCCCCCCAUUUUUUAAUGAUUGACCUCGGAUUAGGUAGGGAUACCCGCUGAACUUAAGCAUAUCAAUAAGCGGAGGA
RNAcentral lists this unclassified non-coding RNA (329 nucleotides) under soil metagenome. RNAcentral's name for it is "partial contains 5.8S ribosomal RNA, internal transcribed spacer 2, and large subunit ribosomal RNA". The stretch from base 1 to 120 matches the Rfam family "5.8S ribosomal RNA", at positions 35 to 154 of the family's 154-position model. The record is from RNAcentral.